AGUGAACGCUGGCGGUAGGCCUAACACAUGCAAGUCGAACGGCAGCACAGUAAGAGCUUGCUCUUACGGGUGGCGAGUGGCGGACGGGUGAGGAAUACAUCGGAAUCUACUUUUUCGUGGGGGAUAACGUAGGGAAACUUACGCUAAUACCGCAUACGACCUACGGGUGAAAGCAGGGGAUCUUCGGCCCUUGCGCGGUUGAAUGAGCCGAUGUCGGAUUAGCUAGUUGGCGGGGUAAAGGCCCACCAAGGCGACGAUCCGUAGCUGGUCUGAGAGGAUGAUCAGCCACACUGGAACUGAGACACGGUCCAGACUCCUACGGGAGGCAGCAGUGGGGAAUAUUGGACAAUGGGCGCAAGCCUGAUCCAGCAAUACCGCGUGGGUGAAGAAGGCCUUCGGGUUGUAAAGCCCUUUUGGUGGGAAAGAAAAGCAGCAGGUUAAUACCCCGCUGUUCUGACGGUACCCAAAGAAUAAGCACCGGCUAACUUCGUG
Molecule: ribosomal RNA, 492 nt
Filed under: uncultured bacterium
Lineage: Bacteria
Description: partial 16S ribosomal RNA
Rfam family: Bacterial small subunit ribosomal RNA
Source: RNAcentral